UACAGAGGGUGCGAGCGUUGUUCGGAAUUACUGGGCGUAAAGCGCACGUAGGCGGACUGUUAAGUCGGGUGUGAAAUCCUGGGGCUCAACCUCAGAAUUGCCUCCGAUACUGGCAGUCUCGAGUGCGGGAGAGGUGAGUGGAAUUCCCAGUGUAGAGGUGAAAUUCGUAGAUAUUGGGAAGAACACCAGUGGCGAAGGCGGCUCACUGGCCCGUAACUGACGCUGAGGUGCGAAAGCGUGGGGAGCAAACAGG
Molecule: ribosomal RNA, 253 nt
Filed under: uncultured bacterium
Lineage: Bacteria
Description: partial 16S ribosomal RNA
Rfam family: Bacterial small subunit ribosomal RNA
Source: RNAcentral